This 253-nucleotide ribosomal RNA is filed under the name uncultured bacterium. RNAcentral describes it as "partial 16S ribosomal RNA". It matches the Rfam family "Bacterial small subunit ribosomal RNA", at positions 524 to 776 of the family's 1533-position model. The record is from RNAcentral.
UACGAAGGGGGCUAGCGUUGUCCGGAGUUACUGGGCGUAAAGCGCGCGCAGGCGGCGGUAUAAGCAUGGCGUGAAAGCCCCAGGCUUAACCUGGGAGGGUCGUCGUGGACUGUACCGCUUGAGGGCGGUAGGGGCUGGUGGAAUGCCUGGUGUAGUGGUGAAAUGCGUAGAGAUCAGGCGGAACACCCGUGGCGAAGGCGGCCAGCUGGGCCGUCCCUGACGCUGAGGCGCGAAGGCGUGGGGAGCGAACGGG